Phyllostomus hastatus (greater spear-nosed bat) is the source of this 451-nucleotide long non-coding RNA. RefSeq lists it as uncharacterized. NCBI's taxonomy places the organism in Eukaryota, Metazoa, Chordata, Mammalia, Chiroptera, Phyllostomidae. The record is from RefSeq and is a predicted model, not a curated record. The transcript has 3 exons.
AACUGGCUUCACGAACAGGAUAUUCUGGAAAAUGACCCUGUUGAGUAGAAUGCCUGUAAUGACAUGCUGGGUGAGGGAAGCCAGGGGUAUUCCUGGAAACAGUGGAGGGUAAUCCUGUUGUGGUGCACCAGUACUGGGGGCAUGUCCCCAGCGCUCCUGUGGGUCUUGCAGAGGACCUGUGUGUGGGGAAAGAAGCAGCUAAAGCAAAUGUACAGGAGUUAGUGGGAUGUAUAAAGCCAGUUUCCAAUUGUGAUUUUAUCAACUAUGUCCUUGUCUGGAAUGUGAUAAUCAAAGGAGCCUUGCCUGGACUCCGGAUGUCAUCAGAAAACCAUAAGGAAUUAAGAUUGACUUUGAAGAAUAAAAGCACUUUGGAGAAAUGGCCUGGUACUUUGCUUGCUCACAUUGUUCAUGACAGUCUUUCCAGUUCAUCUCACUAAAGAGUAUAUUUCCC